GCUAUAUACAGUAGAGAGGCUAUAUACAGUAGAGGCUAUAUACAGUAGAGAGGCUAUAUACAGUAGAGAGGCUAUAUACAGUAGAGAGGCUAUAUACAGUAGAGAGGCUAUAUACAGUAGAGAGGAUAUAUACAGUAGAGAGGCUAUAUACAGUAGAGAGGUUAUAUACAGUAGAGGCUAUAUACAGUAGAGGCUAUAUACAGUAGAGAGGUUAUAUACAGUAGAGAGGCUAUAUACAGUAGAGAGGCUAUAUACAGUAGAGAGAGGCUAUAUACAGUAGAGAGGCUAUAUACAGUAGAGAGGCUAUAUACAGUAGAGAGGCUAUAUACAGUAGAGAGGCUAUAUACAUAGAGAGGCUAUAUACAGUAGAGAGGCUAUAUACAGUAGAGAGGCUAUAUACAGUAGAGAGGCUAUAUACAGUAGAGAGGUUAUAUACAGUAGAGAGGUUAUAUACAGUAGAGGGGCUAUAUACAGUAGAGACUAUAUACAGUAGAGAGGCUAUAUACAGCAGAGAACCUAUAUACAGUAGAGGCUAUAUACAGUAGAGAGGCUACAUACAGACACCGGUUAGUCAGGCUGAUUGAGGUAGUAUGUACAUGUAGAUAUGGUUAAAGUGACUAUGCAUAUAGGAUGAACAGAGAGUAGCAGUAGCGUAAAAGAGGGGUUGGCGGGUGGUGGGACACAUUGCAGAUGGGACGGUUAACCAAUGUGCGGGAGCACUGGUUGGUCGGCCCAAUUGAGGUAGUAUGUACAUUAAUAUAUAGUUAAAGUGACUAUGCAUAUAGGAUGAACAGAGAGUAGCAGCAGCGUAAAACGAUG
This 819-nucleotide long non-coding RNA is filed under the name Salmo salar (Atlantic salmon). Its description in RNAcentral is "lncRNA (ENSSSAG00000089652.1)". The record is from RNAcentral. Lineage: Eukaryota; Metazoa; Chordata; Actinopteri; Salmoniformes; Salmonidae.